RNAcentral lists this ribosomal RNA (465 nucleotides) under uncultured bacterium. RNAcentral's name for it is "partial 16S ribosomal RNA". It matches the Rfam family "Bacterial small subunit ribosomal RNA", at positions 28 to 507 of the family's 1533-position model. The record is from RNAcentral.
GACGAACGCUGGCGGCGUGCUUAACACAUGCAAGUCGAACGGAAAGGCCCCUUUGGGGGUACUCGAGUGGCGAACGGGGGAGUAACACGUGAGUAACCUGCCCUUGACUUCGGGAUAACUUCAGGAAACUGGGGCUAAUACCAGAUAGGGAUCCUUGCUGCAUGGUGGGGGUUGGAAAGCUUCGGCGGUUUUGGCUGGACUCGCUGCGUAUCAGCUUGUUGGUGUGGUAGUGUCUUACCAAGGCUAUGACGGGUAGCCGGCCUGAGAGGGCGACCGGCCACAUUGGCACUGAGAUACGGCACAGACUCCUACGGGAGGGAGAAGUGGGGAAUACUGAACGAUGAGCGGAAGCCUAAUGCAGCAAGGCUGCGGGCGGGAUGACGGUCUUCGGGUUGUAAACCGAUUUCAGCAGGGGCGAAGCUUGUGGUGACGGUACCUGAAGAAGAAGCACCGGCUAACUACGUG